GAUUAGAUACCCUGGUAGUCCACGCUGUAAACGAUGUCGAUUUGGAGGUUGUGCCCUUGAGGCGUGGCUUCCGGAGCUAACGCGUUAAAUCGACCGCCUGGGGAGUACGGCCGCAAGGUUAAAACUCAAAUGAAUUGACGGGGGCCCGCACAAGCGGUGGAGCAUGUGGUUUAAUUCGAUGCAACGCGAAGAACCUUACCUACUCUUGACAUCCAGAGAACUUUCCAGAGAUGGAUUGGUGCCUUCGGGAACUCUGAGACAGGUGCUGCAUGGCUGUCGUCAGCUCGUGUUGUGAAAUGUUGGGUUAAGUCCCGCAACGAGCGCAACCCUUAUCCUUUGUUGCCAGCGGUUCGGCCGGGAACUCAAAGGAGACUGCCAGUGAUAAACUGGAGGAAGGUGGGGAUGACGUCAAGUCAUCAUGGCCCUUACGAGUAGGGCUACACACGUGCUACAAUGGCAUAUACAAAGAGAAGCGACCUCGCGAGAGCAAACGGACCUCAUAAAGUAUGUCGUAGUCCGGAUUGGAGUCUGCAACUCGACUCCAUGAAGUCGGAAUCGCUAGUAAUCGUAGAUCAGAAUGCUACGGUGAAUACGUUCCCGGGCCUUGUACACACCGCCCGUCACACCAUGGGAGUGGGUUGCAAAAGAAGUAGGUAGCUUAACCUUCGGGAGGGCGCUUACCACUUUGUGAUUCAUGACUGGGGUGAAGUCGUAACAAGG
RNAcentral lists this ribosomal RNA (720 nucleotides) under uncultured bacterium. RNAcentral's name for it is "bacterial SSU rRNA". It matches the Rfam family "Bacterial small subunit ribosomal RNA", at positions 776 to 1496 of the family's 1533-position model. The record is from RNAcentral.